Columba livia (rock pigeon) is the source of this 17042-nucleotide RNA transcript. It is a transcript of the gene named chloride voltage-gated channel 6, with no coding region annotated. The transcript is spliced from 24 exons. The record is from RefSeq and is a predicted model, not a curated record. NCBI's taxonomy places the organism in Eukaryota, Metazoa, Chordata, Aves, Columbiformes, Columbidae.
CCGGCGGGGCGGGGCCAGGCGGCGGCUGCCGCGGCGGGUGGGGCCGGGGCGGGGCGGCGGCGGAAGAUGGCGGGAUGCGGGACCGGGCUGUGCUGCUGCUGCUGCCCGCGCUGCUGCGGCGAGCGGGAGAGCCGCACCCCCGAGGAGCUGACAAUCCUAGGAGAAACUCAUGAAGAGGAGGAUGAGAUUCUUCCACGCAAAGACUAUGAGAGCUUGGAUUAUGAUCGCUGUAUCAAUGACCCCUACUUGGAAGUUUUGGAGAGCAUGGAUAACAAGAAAGCGCAGAGGUAUGAAGCGGUGAAGUGGGUGAUGGUUUUUGCUAUUGGAGUCUGCACAGGCCUGGUGGGCCUCUUUGUGGAUUUCUUCGUACGGCUCUUUACCCAGCUCAAGUUCCAGGUUGUACAAAGCUCGGUGGAAGAAUGCACUGAGAAGGGCUGUCUUGCCUUGUCCUUGCUGGAGCUGCUGGGGUUCAACUUGACCUUCGUUUUUCUUGCCAGUCUUCUGGUCCUGAUCCAACCUGUAGCAGCUGGAUCGGGAAUUCCUGAAAUUAAGUGCUACCUCAACGGGGUAAAGGUUCCAGGGGUGGUGCGUCUCCGGACGGUGGUGUGCAAAGCCAUGGGAGUGCUCUUUAGUGUGGCAGGAGGUCUUUUUGUCGGGAAGGAGGGUCCAAUGAUUCACAGUGGUGCUGUUGUGGGUGCAGGUUUGCCACAGUUUCAGAGCAUCUCUUUGAGGAAGAUCCAGUUCAACUUUCCCUAUUUCCGCAGUGACAGGGAUAAAAGGGAUUUUGUGUCCGCUGGAGCUGCUGCAGGGGUUGCGGCUGCCUUUGGAGCCCCAAUUGGGGGCACUCUUUUCAGCCUGGAAGAAGGUUCCUCCUUCUGGAACCAGGGACUUACAUGGAAAGUGCUUUUCUGUUCCAUGGCUGCCACCUUCACCCUGAAUUUUUUCCGCUCUGGGAUUCAGUUUGGAAGUUGGGGGUCUUUCCAGCUCCCAGGGCUGCUGAACUUUGGGGAGUUCAAGUGCUCAGAGUCUGAUAAGAAAUGCCACCUCUGGACGGCCGUGGACUUGGGCUUCUUCGUUCUUAUGGGGAUUGUAGGAGGCCUUCUCGGAGCCACCUUCAACUGCCUGAACAAGAGACUUGCGAAGUAUCGCAUGCGGAACGUGCAUCCCAAGCCAAAGCUGGUCAGAGUCUUGGAGAGCCUGCUGGUGUCCUUGACUACCACGCUCGUGGUCUUUGUAGCCUCCAUGGUUCUGGGGGAAUGCCGGCAGAUGUCUUCCAGCAGUCAUAGUGGCAAUGACACUCUGAACCUGCAGGGCAUGUCAGAGGAUGUGAAUUCAAGCAUCAAAACUUUUUUUUGCCCAAAUGAAACUUACAAUGACAUGGCCACACUCUUCUUCAACCCUCAGGAGUCAGCCAUCUUGCAGCUCUUCCACCAGGACGGUACUUUCAGCCCAGUCACACUGUCCUUGUUCUUCCUUCUCUAUUUCUUACUCUCCUGCUGGACAUACGGGAUCUCUGUGCCCAGUGGUCUUUUUGUGCCAUCACUACUUUGUGGGGCUGCCUUCGGACGUCUGGUCGCCAACCUCCUCAAAAGCUACAUCGGCCUGGAUCACAUCUACUCAGGAACCUUUGCACUGAUUGGGGCGGCGGCGUUCCUGGGAGGAGUGGUCCGCAUGACGAUUAGCCUGACUGUCAUCCUAAUUGAAUCGACCAACGAGAUCACCUACGGCCUCCCAAUAAUGAUCACUCUCAUGGUAGCCAAAUGGACAGGAGACUUUUUCAACAAAGGCAUCUAUGACAUCCAUGUGAACUUGCGAGGAGUGCCUCUUCUGGAGUGGGAAACAGAGGUGGAAAUGGAUAAACUACGAGCCAGUGACAUCAUGGAACCCAACCUGACAUAUGUCUACCCGCACACCAGGAUCCAGUCUCUCGUUAGCAUCCUGCGCACGACUGUCCAUCAUGCCUUCCCUGUGGUGACUGAGAACCGGGGCAAUGAGAGGGAGUUCAUGAAGGGAAAUCAGCUGAUAAGUAACAACAUCAAAUUCAAGAAAUCAAGCAUCCUCACCCGAGCCGGAGAGCAGCGCAAGCGCAGUCAGUCCAUGAAAUCCUACCCGUCAAGUGAAUUGCGUAACAUGUGUGAUGAGCACAUAGCAACGGAGGAGCCACCAGAGAAGGAGGAUCUGCUGCAGCAGAUGCUAGAGAGAAGAUACACUCCCUACCCCAACCUGUACCCUGACCAGUCUCCCAGUGAAGAGUGGACCAUGGAGGAACGCUUCAGACCUUUGACCUUCCAUGGCUUGAUCUUGCGCUCACAGCUGGUCACCCUCCUCGUCAGGGGUGUUUGUUACUCUGAGAGCCAGUCGAGUGCGAGUCAGCCUCGUCUGUCCCAUGCAGAGAUGUCAGAGGAUUACCCCCGCUAUCCAGAUAUCCAUGACCUGGACCUCACGUUGUUGAACCCUCGCAUGAUAGUGGAUGUCACUCCAUACAUGAACCCAUCACCCUUUGCUGUCUCUCCAAACACUCAUGUGUCACAAGUCUUCAACCUGUUUAGGACAAUGGGGCUCCGACAUUUACCGGUUGUGAAUGCAGUUGGAGAGGAGCAUCUGUUGUGUGGGCAAGAAAAUGGGAGGAGUACAACUGUGCAGCCCAUCUGUCCACUCCGGGUGAAAGGCUGGAAGUGAACAGCUGUGCCUUCAUUUGUGACCGCCAGUGCGGACACGAGUGUGAGCAGAUCUUCCUGAUUGCCACGGAGCUGCUUCCAGAGCCCAGCUCUCAUCAGCAUCGGGAUGGCACAGGUGGGAUCUUGGCAAACCAGCCUUCCUGCAGAAUUCCUUUGGCUCAGGAUCUUUGCCAAGUAGCCAUUCAGGCCAAGUUCGACUCCACUGUUCUGCUCAGAGUUUCUUUGGAUUGGCACAAGCAUCCCUGGGGAGCUGGUGAAAACCUCUCUGACCUGGCUUCUGUGACAAGAUGGAAUGUGUACAGCUGACGUGGAGAAAGGAGUGAAAGCGGGUAAAGCAGGGAUGUGGCAUUCACAGGUUUUAGGUGUGAAUCUGAUGACAGUGAGUUCUGAGGAGGGUAGAAGUGGUAAACUGUGUUUGCAAUAGGAGGGUAACAGUUACUUUAAGGCAUCAUUUACUUAAAGCUGCAUAUUUAUACAAGUUAUACACAAACACACAGACCACUUGCCUCUGGCUUUCUCUUACCAUAGUAAGCAGUUAGCAACCCAGUCCACUCAGUGACCCAAUUCUGUCCAACUUGACACCAAAACAACCCCUGGAGAGGCCCUUUUUGCUUCUUCUUCUGUAUCUGCGGGGUAAACUAAGGAGGUCGCUCAAGAACCGCUGGACAGCACCAUCACCCAUGGGCGUGCUGUCAGGCUGGUCCCUGGUGUUUUGGGUCCACUGGAAUUCAGCAUCUUGCUGAUCAAAGGCAUCUGUUGGGAUCGUGUCGUCUUGCUCAUGGUCCCUCUCUUCUGGGAGCAGGGGAUGCUCCAAGUCCUCAUCUAACAGUUUGGACAGACUCUGAAAAAAGGGAAAGGUAGAUGGUGGAGGGGGAGGAGAAGAGAAAAAAGAGGGGUUCUGGGAACUCUGUCAUUAUUUUCAUAUAAGCCAUAGUCAGUGCUGAGUUUGGAGAAACUGAUUUUGAACAUUUAUCAAAAGAUUGAAAGUACUGAUGUGAUUUCUGAAGCUGCUGAUGGUUAUCUUUAGUUUCUUCUGGCUCACAGAGCUGCUCUGAGCUAACACUGUAUGCUCUCCCAAAAUGCUCUAAGGCUCCAUUCUGUUACUGUAUUCUAUAGUUUUGAGCUGACAAACUGCCAGUUAAGUCUUUCCUAGAGCUGGGUAUCUGGGCUAUGGGAUAAAUUGUGAAAGACGAUGAAAGAGGCUUGGUCAAGAGUGAUUAAGGAACAAGAGAAGAUGAUUGAUACCUUGGAAUAAUAAGAGAAGCAAUGCAAUGACAGGAGAUGUGCUGCAAUUGGUACUAGAAGAAUUAUGUAUUUCUUUACAGACUGGGAGGUUACUUCAUAUUUGGGAAUAGCAGAUCCCUAGUCAGGCAGCUGAAAUAUAUUUUCCAAAUGACUUGGAAUUCCUGCACACACAAAUACACACACACAUAUACACACACAAACUUUCUCUUUUUCUCACAUUCUGUCUCUGGGGCUCACAAGCAGGGACUGCACCACUGAUCUGAGGAGGAGGUCAUGCAGUUACAAACCAUUCAUUCCUUCUUCAACUUAAAACUAGGGUGACUGCUCCAGGCCUCUAGGCAGGAGCCCUUCCAGAAAAAUUCCUUUUAUUCCAAAAGCUUGUUGCUUGACUCAGUCACAGGAUGACCUUAAAUCUGUAAUCCACAAAUUGACCCCACAGGAAAAAGCAUUUUCCGUUCAAUUGCUUCAGGUGAUCAGAAAUUUAAAUCCAGCAAUCGAUUACUUGAAUUUCCCUCCAUUUAAUAACUCUGUGUCACCCCACCUCAGGGUUCCUGCUGUCCUUGUUUCUUUGAACGUCACCUACUGGGGUUGGAAGAAACAGAGCUAAUCUGAACUAAGCCCUAAAGAAGCAUCAGCUUCUUUCAGUUCUAUUGAGCAGCCAAUCACUUACCUGUAAGCUGGAGAUGGGCCUGGCCCUCACCUGGUUUUGGCUGGCAAUAAGCAGCAGAAGGAACCCAGGGCAAAAAAGAAGUUUCAGGUUCAUCUUCAUGUUUUGGUGUCUCUGAUUCCUGCUCCCCUUGAGUCUCUCCUGUUCAGUGCUGCUCUGUGUCUCCAGCUACCAGCCUUUAUAUCUUCCUCCAACCCCUCCCAAGUCUACCUUUUGAGUUCCUGCCCGUGCAAGGAUUGGUUUGAGGUUCUGGUCUGUUUUCAUUCUCAGAGGAGGAGGAGGAGGGAGGAAAUAGUUCUGUUUUCUUGUGGUGAAUAAAAGGAGCAUUUUACACUUAGGCAAUGCAGCAUCACUCUGUGAAUCUGAAGGUCUCUGCUGCCUUGGUGCCAUUUAAGUAUGACCAUUUGUUUAGCUCAGUGUUCCUUGAGUUGGCUGCUAUACCUUUGCUUUCUACCCAGAGAAAAAUAACUGUGAGAGAAGUAUGAAGUGAGACAGAAAGCAAAUUGUAUCUGCUAUGCAUUCACCUGGCUCCUUUGUCACUAUGAAGUACCAAAUCAGGGGGACGAGUGUUUCACAAAGCACACUUGGCAAGAACUGAGUCUUAUUACCUAACAUAAUAAUAUGGCAUUAGUACCCUAUGAGACAAAAUAAUGUGUUUUGUAGAAGGGAAAUCCAAACCCUAAAAAUGAAAGAAGUGAUUUACAUUGGUUACUGGCCUGAGUGACAGACAGUGUGGCUGAAAUCAAGCUGACGUGCGAAGAAAGAUUCUGCAUGACUCAAGCUGAGGAAGAAGUUCCUCUUCUCCCGUGGAUCUAACUUAAAACAUUUAUUCAUGCCCAUUUCUGAAGUGAUUGUAGUGUUCUUUUAUAUGGCAAAUCCUCUCUAUAGUAUGGGAGUAUCAAGAAGGAGGCAGGUUGGCACGUAUUGCUCAUCUCCAACAGUCAAUUGUUUCCUAGUUUAUGGAGAUAUUUCUCCUGUACCAGAAGAGAACUUAUUUCUUAUGAAAAGAGUAGGAUUAGGGCAUCCUUUUCCUAUGGGGAAAUAUCUGCCUCAUCUCUACAGGCUCUUGUGAGGAAGCUGAGCUCUGAAGCUGACAGCGUGUGGUGUGCUUAGGUAGAUAUCGUUAGAGCACAGACGCAGUAACUCGUUAUUCUCCUCCUUCCUCGCUCAGUGACCCUUGUCAGCCUCCCUCUCCCUCCCAGUCGCUCAGGCCAGCGUGUCCUGGCUCAGCGCAGCUGGCUGAAAGGGCAGUGACGUGUUUGCAGCGCUUCCGUCACAGUGGGAACAUCAGCUCCGUGAUGGCAGCUGACACCAGGGGCCCAUCAUUCUUUGGGGUCCCAAGAAUGUGUUUUGCCUUUGCCUGGUCUGUUCUGCUCUCGCUAAUGCUCGCUCAUCUCUUUGAUGGGGGUGAAGAGGGGAUAUUUUCUCUGUAGCCCUUUGGCACAAGAAAGGGUCUAGGCUGUCCAAGGACAAGGAGGGCGGUGGGCUGGCAUUUCAUAGCAGAUCAUAGGUGGUUCUGGAGCGUUGGGUUUUGAUGGCAAAAUUUUAAUAUUGUGUUUGUCGGGCACAUUUAUCACAUUCUGCUGACACUAAUGAAGGCCGGCAGGGAAGCAGCAGUGAGGGAGGGGAUGAAAUAGCAGGAGAUUGUGCUCAGUGCGAGUCAGAUGACUGUUCUGUAAUGCUGCUUGAGGAGCUGGGCUCAAUUCUGAUCUCUGCUGCAGCAGGGGUGGAAACGAAGAAGCCACGUGGGACUUGUGUAUCUGACCCGUAGCUGCCCAGACCAACCUGACUUCUCUCAUUAUCCCCAGUGCUGGCACUUGGAUGGCACUGGGGAGAGAAGCACAACAUCCACUGAUUCACUGGUGGGUGUUUCUGGCCCCCUUUCAACCACUUGUUUCCCAGAAGAGCUUUUUCUUCAUGCAUGAGGACGUUUUCAGGUUCAGUAGUCCUGCUGUGGGGUUUGAUACUAAAGAUCCCCGACUUUGCUCUGUUCGUCUUGCUGAUGGUUAGAACAAUUUUGCUGUGAAUUCUUUUGACAUCUAGAGGCAAUCUGCUUUUCCCAAGGUACUUUAAACACACAGAGCCCCACUGCCUGUGGUUUAGCACUCUUCAACAAAUGGUGUAAAGCAGAUGAAAUGUGAAAACUGCUGGAGAACUGGUAUGAAAAUACAGAUGUUUUUUACAGGCUAUAGUACUGGAGAGGAUUCUCAGAUUAAUCAUGGCAUGAUGAUGGGAAGACAGGAGGGAGUUGGUAUUACACAAAUGUGAGAAGCAAGGAGGGAAUAACAGCUAGACAAACAUUGUAUGAUCAGCUGAAACAAAAUUGAGGAAUUUUGGAAACCCCAGUAGAAUGGAUCCUGAAACAAAUGGGAAACAAGCUGAGGUGUUCAGAGCAAUGGCACAAGACUUGUGGCCAGUGCCUGGUGAGCGGCAGAGGCUUAAAGAAAGACUCAUGUUCCAUGAAUCCUCACUUGAGCUAUGUUUUUGACUAAGCUUCACCUCUAGCAAGAUGAACAGCAUCUUGCUGCCCAGUUGUUUUGGAAAGGCAGGAAUGUUGUCAGUAACCACACUGCAACUGAAAACAUGGAUUAGCUGUGCAGCAUGGAGUUUACAUAUCCCAAAUUGUUUUGAGCUGAGAUUUCCCCAGCAAAACAAGGUGGUUACUCCUGUGAGAUCUCACCUCUCCUCUUCCCUUUGGUUUAGCUGCCUUUGUGUUAGUGAGGUGUGUGGUGACCUCUCCUGGUGAGUAGAGAAUAUGCCUUCAAGUUCGAUAGAACAAGUUCUGGCUAAAAAAACCCAAACCGGACACUGUGGGAGGUUUUGAUAAAAUGACGGCUUCAAUCUUUUAUUCAAGAACCUUGUACGUGCAGUAUAAGAAGGGGCUGCAGGCUUUAGGCUCUAGUAGCUGUGUUGGAACAUGUGAGUGGUUAUGUCUUGGGAAGGCACAUGGCACGCGUGUGAUAUAUGAAUGUGUGUGCGUGGUAUGUUGGUGUGUACAGCAAAGCGUCAGAUGUUCCGGUGGUUGGCUGACUUUAGAUCCACCACUAGAUGUGUUGAUCUGGACUCUUGUAAUGGAUUUUGUAGAAUGUAAGUUUCUAUAAGAUGAGAGGGGAGCGGGGAGCACAUUUCUUAAGCAUUUUGUCUGGAGUAACACUUGCCAGGUUUCUCUUUGCAACGUGGUGCAUCCUGGAAUAGCUCGGAGUGGUGUCAACAGUGCCCAUUGAUCUGGAAAGUUUGCUAGCCAAGAAACUAAAUAAAGGGCCAAGUGGUCACACCAUCCCAUUGUGCUAUUUAUUGCUGCAUGCCAUUUGUCAGCGUAGAGCGUGCUGAAGGAGAAGGCAUUUCUAGAAAUGGCUAAACAGCUACAGGAAUGAAAUGGCAUCGUUCCUGGAAGUUGCUCUGGUUGUUUACUUCCCCUCUCCCUUCCCUAACAAACUGCUGAUGAACCUAAGAAUAACUCGACUAACUAAAAAUGUAGCCAUUACAUAAAGCCUGUCCUCCACUGAACACUCUGUAGAUGUGAGAGAGUGGCGCUGUGCAGAACCUCAGUUUUGUGUUCCCUGAACAGGAUCCCAGUUGUCUCUUAGUUUUGACACAUCUCAGUCCACAUCUCUCUGUGGACUUUCCUUGACUGCACAGUUGUGUAGGUAGGUUCAUGCUUUUUCAGAACAGAGAGGUAAACCGUCUCGAUUUUUGUUGGGCAGAGAAUUCAUGUGUGUGUUAUUCUUCCUGCUUACAUUUACAGUGCUCUUCAUCAAUGCUUCUCAUCAGUUCAGGCACAACUGGAUGCUUGGAUGUGCCCACACGUGCUCACUAGGAUUAGAAGGCAAAUCCUUCAUGUCACAGUGUGGCAAGCAGUUGGAGACUAUCCUGGAAGUCCGCAGUGAAUGCACAUCAGGCUACGUGUGAGCAAGAGAGUCCUUCCUGCCUCGGGUGGCUGAGCUGCAGUGGGAGGAAUGCAGCCUCAUCCAGAGCUUAGCUAAGCUGGUCUUUCUUAGUCAUUCAGUGUAGCUAUGGAUGACUCUUAUCACCCACUGUUCUUGAUUUGACAACCCUUCUUUAUUUUCCCAGAAAAUACUCACUGUGUUCGCCAAGCUUCUGGAAAUAGCUCCCUCCUUUUGUGGUGGAGAAUGGCAUGGCCGUGGGCCAGAGGGGCAGGAUAUUUUAGCUGUUGCUUGUCAGCACAGCGAGAUGGGCGAGUAGCAUCUCAAAAACUAACACUUCUAAAGCUAUGAUAAGGUGCUCAGGCUACAGGGCUGGAGCCUGUGUUCGUGCUUGAGAUAAACUCCACUGUCAGUGCUGCAUUCACACCUCUCCUGUCACAUUAGGCACCUCAUGGUCCUGCCUUUCCCAUUAGACACUUGCUGCAAAGCCUCAGCAUGGGGGUAUGAGGCCCUGUGCCUUCAUCUGCAGAGUCCCCAGGGACUGCAUUUCUCCCUGUGCCCUUGUGGUGACAUUGAGGUGGCUGGAGGAAAUGUUGUGGGUUGGAAUAGAUUUGUCACUGCGGGUUGUCAUCCUGAACUUUGUUUGGACUUGGGUGCUUCCCCUUGGGAUGCGCUAUCUGGACGUUGCCCUCUGGGCAAAAGAGAAACGGGAGUAGCUGGAUGUCAGGGCUUGUGCUGGGAUUGCAAACACCAAAUGUGCUGUCUGAAAGCCGGGUGGGAAAGCCGUGCAAUAGUAAGCAGUAAUGGACAGGUAGGGUAAGAAUACAGCUACACAACCUGUCCGAGUUGGACAUGUUACUAGUCCUUUUUACAGGAAAUAGUGCUUCAGUGUUUUCUAAAAUGCAGGAGAACCCUCCAAAGGGUCUUCAUUUGGGCACCCAAACCCAUAUUUGAAAAAAACAACAUUUUGUGAGGAGGCAUCUAUGCUGUAAACCCUUAACUGUGUUUAGUUAAAACCAGCGCGCUAGCAGGGCUCCUCUUCGCAUAGCUGAGAGAUGCCACCAAACUUUGGAAGCAGAGAAUGCGUUUAAUGUCCCUUGCCCACUGGAAAUUCUUCACAUAACUUCUGCAUUGUUUGACCAAGAGGAUUUGUUUGACCAUGUCACCUCCCCGAGGAUAACAGCACAUUUUUUGCCUGGUGUUGAAGUGUGAAGACCGUUGUGAGCCAUGACAUCAUAUCUCAGACCAGAGCAGAUCAGGAAAUGACCAAGAAGGCCUAAAAUAUUGGCCAUGGGAAGAGUGAAUGGAGGAGAGAAGGGAUGUGAUACAGCAACAUUCUUUGGCCUGGAUAGGUCAGAUGCACCUGACAUGUGUAAUAGGACCAGAACAUCUUUAGCACUUUAGCACAUGAUGAUACUUUAGUGCAGAGAGGUGGCUUAUGAGAGGCAGAGGUGAACUAGGGUGCAAAUCCACCAAAUGACAUGCUAAUAAAUCACAGCUGCCCUUUGACAAUAAGGAGUAAAGGGGAUAUGGGCCUGAACAGCUAAACGGCUCCAAAUCUGACCUUUCUUUAAUUCUGGAAGGUUUAAAAUGAAUUCUGAGUCCUAAUCUCUAACCACAGCUAGAACAAUAACUACCUCCGGACACAUCAAAACUACCAGUGAGGAAAGACACAUACAUGUAUUAAUGGUUGUGGCUAUUUUGGGAGGGUGGAAGGCAAGGAAGGUGGUAAUAGGAGAAAACCAGCAAACUACAUUUUCUAGAAAAUUGAUGGUUUGGUUUUAUUUGUUUGUUUGUUUCAAAAAUAAACCAUUUUAAGUAUUGAGUCAUGAACUGAAUAGUUUCAACUGGUUUUGAACUGAUGUAAACCAGAAGGGGAUUAGUCAGUUAAAAAAACAAAAAGAAGAAGGGGAGGUUUGUAAGGUGAAGCCUCUCUGGGGUCGUGCUCAGUGGGUUACAAAGCUGAGGGCUUGUUUUGGUCCAAGGUUCCGACAUCCGUGGGGCUUAUCACUGAAGUCAGAGCCAAGACAAACCUUCGGGCUGGGUCAUGUCGAUCUCAUUUUGCCCACAGCACAGGAGCCCUUCAUUAAAGUCCAAACAGACCUGACUCGCAGACACAUCUCAUGCUGUCUCACUGCUGGUCUUGUAAAUAAUCUGCUCUCCAAAUUGCUAGAGCGCAUUUCUCUCUCUGUGUUGUUCUCUCUCCUUGUUUCCUUGUGUCAAGCAUUGAGAGCAGGAUGAUUUGGCUAAGGCUUGGCCUCUUUUCAGUCUUUUAUUCUGUAAUUAUGUCAGACAUAGGAUUGACCAGUGAUUAAAGUAUUGCUUUGCAAAUUGAAAAUGUGCAUCACUUUUACAGUCUUGCCUGCAGUCUGAGCAACUGCUUGUCUCUGUAUUCACCUCCUGCACAACGUGUGUCUGGUGCUCCCCUGUCUCACAUGGAUGUUAUUAAACCAGGUUGUUGUCUGUGCAGCUUUGUAAUCGUAGAGGCGAGAAUGAAUGAGAGCCUUUGCAGAUACCCGGUAAUUCACCAAUGACCAGAAAGCUUCUACUGGAGGAGAGGUAUUUAAAACCUCUGUACCUCCUACCUGUCACACCAUGUGGCUUUCCAGAGCUACUUUGUGAACAUCCCUAAUCAUUAUACGACUGUAUUUAAACCUCAAAACAAAUCUCUGCUUAUACAGGUCCAAGAGCUUGAUUUGAUACCCCUUAACUUAGCUUCAAAGCGAGUACCUUCAUUGAGACAACAAAAUGUCCCGUCCCUCCCGGCUGAGCUCCUGGGCCCAGCGCCCGCUGAUUUGUUCCCUAACGAUCCUGCCAGGUCGAGGCCGCUGAGCACGAGUGCUGCUGAGCCACGUGGGGAAGGCAGAACGUUCAGAAAGCAGCGAUUUCUGGAGCAGCAAGAGGAAGGGGCAUGACAGGAAGAGAGGACCGAUACUUCGCUGAAGAGCCCAUCACAAAUAGUGCAAGAAUAACAGUUCUCUGUCGCAGCUACAGAUUCCCUUAUCGGGGAGCGUUAAGCGGUGGAGCCUGUCGACACUUCUUCCUCGCGCCCUGCCCUGCACUCAGCCGCCUGCAGAUACAGAGUGGCUUGAACAAGUUCCAGUGCUCGCUGCGGAGCUUCCCAGGACCCCGCAGCCGGGUGACAUCACUGCCAGCAGCCGCACCGGCGCUUCCUGUGUCACAUUCCCCACUGAAGAGCCUCUUGCCAAAUCCUUGUCGUUCUACACGGUCUUUUUAGGAACAAAUGGUCUAAUUUUAGCCUGAGUGCCACGAACACCUCCCUGAAAUAGACUUUGACACUCUCCUGCCUUGUGCAUGUUCUUGAGAGCUUAAAAACAAAAUCUCUAGUCUUUAGGGUCCAUAGCUAAGGCCUCUGUCAGCCUAAAUUUGGGCAGUAAGAAAUCUUGAGAAGUGUCAUGGGGAAACUGUUGUCACUGCUAGACCCAUGCUGAGCUGAGCAAGGACAGGAAUGUUCCAGAGAGGCAGAAACUCAGGUGAUGGCAUGUUACAAAGUUGUAUGAAUCUGGUCCAAUCUGGAUGAGAUGUUCUGUAAUUCAAGGACUUUGCAAUAGAAAUAAUUUGUUGUUUUCUGGACUGGCUGCAGCCAGAUAUGAUGUUUAGAAGUGUGGUGAGUGGACUCACAGAGUGUCUUCUGUGGUUUGUCUAGGACAAUUGCUCUAAUCACCAUCCUCUCUUUUUGGGGCCUAACGGGAUGAGCACUGGCUUAGGAGUCAAUAAACUGUGGUUGUAUCCCAUAGCAAAGUCAGUUCGCAUCUGCUGUGCUGUCCUUGACGGGCAUGUGCAGCAGUGACCUGCUUUGAGAACGUAAGAACAAUUAGGAAUUACUGUGAGCUGAGGACAAGGAGCACAAACUCCACAAAAUCACUGGGCUUUUAUGCUCCUGCCUUUUGCUGUUUCCAUGAGCUCAAAUACGCAAGCUCUUGUACUGAAGGAUCAAUGCAAGCUUAAACUGCUGUUUUUAAUUAGCAUAGAGUAAAAAGCCACAUCUUUAAAUAACUCUAAAUAGGAAAGGAAAAAAUGUUUUCAGGCAGCUGUUGUCUUUAUGUUGCUCUCUUGUGAUUGACACACAUCCCUUUUGUUCCUUUAUACCUACUAAUUAAGCAGCUCCUUGUAUCUGCAGGUAAGUUGAUCAGCUAAUGGACUCCCUGCAGUCUCUAGUGCACCAUGUCCUGAAGGAUAAAUAGGAAAAGGCAAAAAGCCCUUGGACAUCCAACUGGAUCCUGGGCAGAUUUGUCCAACGGGCCUUUUCUGACCAGGACUGAAAGCAGGAACAUGAGACAAAGACCAAUAGCCCUGAGGGCUGCCAGGGUCACUGCAGGGCCUGGUCUCCAGUGGGUGCAGGACUGUUUGCUGGGGCAGCUUCCCAGCUUGCCAUCAUUCAGCAGAGGACUAAAAAUACUGUUGGCUCACAUAGGGUGAGUGCAAAGUGGCUGGUGUUACUGAAUACUCUAAAAACCAAACCCCCAGCACCUGGCUCCAGCUGGGCUUUAAUGGAUGAGAACAAAGCAGGACUUUGUGUGCUGAGCAUCCCAGCAGGAGCUGGGAGCACACCAGCACGUUAAUGGAAGGACAGAAGGGACUUGGGGGACAGGGCUUCUCCGUUCUGGGUGAGCAGCUGAAUUACCCCAACUGCUGCACAGGCUGGGGUAGCUUUCACUCUCUUUCUCUAGCUGUAUCAUCCAGGACCUUUGAAAUGUCAUUGGCAAAAACUUUGUCAAACUGAUUAAUUUAAAUUAACUAUUUUUGUUUCCAUCUUCCCACCUCCCCUCUCAUUUUGACAUGUGUCUUUUAAGAACAACCUUCUUAACACCCUGAAAAGCAGUGCAGAGCCCACAGAUUAGGUCAUUUAUUGAACAAGAUGUUAGCACAGUAAAGUGAGCAGCCUUGUUUAUUUUUUCUUCUUUGGCUUCCAUUUCUGCAUCUGGGCCAUAGGGAUCAUCCCAGCUACUCCAGGAUAUGUGCUGUUUUCUAUUUCAUAUUCCUAAUCUGCCUCCCUUUUUACCUGCUUUCUGGUUUCAAGGGCAUGUUACCAUUUAAUGCCUUGUCUUAAAAGACUUGUUUUGCUCUUCUAACUUCUGUCCUUCUCCACCUCGAGAGGAAAAUGUUGUGGCAGCUCAAUGACAUUCCUUUCUUCUCCUUUCACUGCCUGUGACAAAGUGUGUGUGGGACUGGAGUCCAGUCUUCUCUUGUGAAUGUGCCGUCUAUCAGGCAGGUCUGUAAUGACACCUGGCGUUCAGUGUAGGAAAAUGCUGAUUAUUGUGCUGUCCUGCUCUGGCCUUGUGAGAAUUCAGGUGAGAACAGGCUGGCUGAAAGACACCCAGAUUCUUGUUUCUAGAUCUGCAGAGACAGCUUAUUAUCCAGACUCUAGACCCCUGUAACUCAGCACUAUCACUGGUGCAGGAUGGCUACAAUAAUCCAUAUGAUCUUUAUGGAAAUGAGGGGUAACCUUUGAGCUUUACUCAGGGAAGGCAAUGGAGAAACUAACUUUGUACAUCAAACUCAAAAAGGUCUCUACAGGAUUUGUCUUGUUCAAGGUCUGUUUCUGUGCCUUUGACCAGGUUGAAACCACUACCCCAUCAUAGAGUAAACUUGAGACUUCGUGUUAGUCUGAUCCAGACCCAGGUUUUCAGUCCAGAUGUUUCAUCUUACCAAAGGUGAGUCUCUGAGUUAGACCAGUCAACCUGUCCAGCCUCAGCCUUCACCUACUCCAAGCCUUGCUGCAUGUUAGGCAUAGACAACCCAAAAAUCUUUGGAAAUGAGCCACCAUAUCAAAGCAUCAGCCAUAUGCAUAGAAAGCAGCUCAUCACUUCCUCCUUCCUCUUUGGAGAGGGAUUGUUCAGAGUUGAACCAAAGCAUUUUUUGUUAAUAAACACUAAUUGCCGUCUAUCAUCAAGCACACAGGGCCAUUUUCUACUAUUUUCUAAAUUAAAAAUCUGCACUGAAGCCUCUGAAGAGAUGAAGAUCAGAACAGGCUCAAUUUUCCAUGCAAAUAACUUGCCUCUGAUCUUGACCCAGGAUUUUCAUAACAAUUAGAGGCAGUGUGGGGCUCGGGUGGCCCUGAGCUGCCCCGCAGUCCCCAGCUGUCCCUCUCCUCUCCCCGGCUCUGUUCCUUUCAUGCCAGCUUAUGAGGGGAUACGUGCACCUGAGGCAUUUUCCUUCACUGACUUGAAAGUCGUGGCUUUUCAACAACACUUAUCUCUGUUCCCUCUUUCCUGUUUUGUUUUUUUGGUGUUGUUUGGUUGGUUGUUUUCCCCAUUUGAUCCCAUAUGCUGAGCACUGACAGGAACCAGAUGAAAGGAUUGCAGCCUUUCAGUAUCCAUCCUGGGCAUCACCCUAGAUUUAUGUAGAUAUAUAGAUUUAUAUGUAUGUGUUUGUCUACAUGUGAUUGUCUGUCUGUUUAACACUGUGCAGCUUCCACAUGUCUCCAGUUAGAUAAACAUCAAGCAUUUGAAAAAAACCCAACAUACCACGAUUCCCUUGGCUGGCUUUAAAAAGAGUUAUUUUUUUUAAGUGUUUGAUUUGUAUUCCUCAUGGCUUUUUGUGAUGUAGUUUGCUGUAAUAUGAUUUUUUUGUUGCAACCAUUAAGCACUGCUUUACCUCCCUUAAAAAAAGAACUGUAAUGUGCUAAGAUCUUUCUCUUGUGCAGCAGUAGUGCUCUACAUGAGCCUGGCGACUGGGAGAGGAGAUGGGCCAAACCCUCACCCUCACACUUGUGCUCCUGUUCCCAUCAGGAUGGUUCCCUCAUGCUGGAAUUGCAGCCAGCAACACAGGGUUAAUAAUGUGUACAGCCCACUUACAAAUUAAUUGGACUCUGUGUAGAGUUACUAAUUGUCAACAUCAGGAAGUAAUUCAGUUUGCUUUGAUUUCUCUGAGUUUUUCUUGGAGAUCGCUGGAUUCCAGUGACACACCAGGCUGUCAUUUUGGACGCUGUAGUUCUUGUUACCAAGAAGCCAGUAGGUUUUCAUUUUCCCUUUGCCCUGAAACAAGAAAAGGAGAGCAGAAAACAGCUAUUUUCAUGGGGGAUUAAGCAGAGCAUCGCUAUGGCCAAGGCUACUACCUGUACUGCAUUUAUUACCUCUCCUUCUCUUUUAAGUGGCUGCUCUUUGGAGAAAGAAUUGUAAUUUAUAUGCAUUUUGUGUGCUAAUAAUUCUUUCAGUUCAGAGAAAGGGCUUGCUGGUCACUAGCAGUGUUGCUGAGGGUUUAAAAUCAGCUUUAUACCCACAUGUCUUCAUAACUGAAUCCUAACACUUCCACCCACAUUUGUGUGGUUCUGGGCAGGUGCAGACAUAGCAGCUGCAUUUCAAAGCACAUAGUAACACUUCUUCAUCAAUUAGGAGGAGUAAUGUAUGACCAUUUCCAACUGAAUUAGGAAAAGAACCUUGGGGCCACAGUUAAAAAUUGACUUGCAAUUCACAGAAGAGCAGUGGCCAAAUCUUUCAUUUCUCUUUCCUACCUCAUUAAACACCUUUACUGUUGCAACGUUACAGAAAAGCUGUUACCUUGACUUCAAUUUCUCCUCUCGGUUCAAUUUCAUACGCAUCAUCUGUGAGAAGGGCGUCAUAUGUAGCAGAACUGAUAUGGAUCUUCUGCGCUAGGAUUCAGAACAGAGCAUUAGAAAUGAAUGAUUCCCCUGUUCCCAGAGACCACACACCAGCCCUCCUGCAUUUAUCAGCCCAGUGUUUCCUCCUCCUCUUUGGAAAAUGUCGGGUUGAGGAGGAUGCCCAAGGAAGGGGAAGAUGCCUUACGCAAGCUGGUGGACUCCAUGCGGGAGGCUGUGUUUACAGUGUCCCCAAAAAGGCAAUAACGAGGCAUUUUGUACCCCACAACUCCAGCUACACAGGGUCCUGAGAAAAUACAAGACAGAGAGACCCCGGUAAGAAACAAGUGGAAAAAGUGCAGGGAGAUGCCCAGUGCAGACACCUUUGCUGGUCUCUGGGUCCUCGGGGAGCAACAGGAAUGGGGCAUAUUCAGCACAUCCCAGAUCUGGCUGCACAUUGUUUACCUAAGGAGAUGUCUUGUUUUGAUUAGCUAAUUGAUGCUGAUAUCAGUGCAACAUGCACUUUGCCAAUACUAAAUUGUUUCACAGCCCUUUCUACACUGAUGCAAGCAAAAGUCUUUUCACCCCACUGUUACUGCUGGAAGCCGGAGAAAUAUUCAUCCUGGGGUGCUAUGAAGAGCCAGUGGCUCAUACAGAAAUGCAGAAUUCUUUUCUCCUCACACAGUUAUUGUGUCCUGUUCUCUUUGUCUCAUGCCUCCAGCUCAGCCCGCGUACCUGUGUGUAUCCCAGCCCGCAGCUGCAGUCUGCCCAUUGGCAUAUGGGGGAUCACGACCUGUCGAACUGCUGCCACCAGAUCCAGAGACAUUUUGGCAAUCUCGUCAGCGUGUUUGGUGCCGUUCCUCUCCGGCAGGCCGCUCACCACCAUGUAGGCAUCACCAAUGGUUUCCACCUGAUGGGAAGAGGCACGUGGCACUAAGUGGCAGGCACCAAGCUUUUCUUUCAAAAUGAGAGCAGAAUAAAAUAUAUCUCGGCUGUCCACCACUUGCCAA